Molecule: ribosomal RNA, 573 nt
Filed under: uncultured Glomeromycotina
Lineage: Eukaryota; Fungi; Glomeromycota
Description: bacterial SSU rRNA
Rfam family: Eukaryotic small subunit ribosomal RNA
Source: RNAcentral
UUGGAGGGCAAGUCUGGUGCCAGCAGCCGCGGUAAUUCCAGCUCCAAUAGCGUAUAUUAAAGUUGUUGCAGUUAAAAAGCUCGUAGUUGAAUUUCGGGAUCAAUUUGCCGGUCGAGACCUCUGGUACGUACUUGUAUUAUUGAUUUCUUUCAUUCUGAUAAAUCAUUGAUGUCGUUAAUUUGAUGACUUUGAGGAAUCGGAACUUUUACUUUGAAAAAAUUAGAGUGUUUAAAGCAGGCUUAUUAGGCUUGAAUACAUUAGCAUGGAGUAAUGAAAUAGGACGAUUGAUCCUAUUUUUGUUGGUUUCUAGGAUUGACGUAAUGAUUAAUAGGGAUAGUUGGGGGCAUUAGUAUUCAAUUGUCAGAGGUGAAAUUCUUGGAUUUAUUGAAGACUAACUACUGCGAAAGCAUUUGCCAAGGAUGUUUUCAUUAAUCAAGAACGAAAGUUAGGGGAUCGAAGACGAUCAGAUACCGUCGUAGUCUUAACCAUAAACUAUGCCGACUAGGAAUCAGACGAUGUUAAUUUUUUAAUGACUCGUUUGGCACCUUACGGGAAACCAAAGUGUUUGGGUUC